CCUACGGGAGGCAGCAGUCGAGAAUCAUUCACAAUGGGGGAAACCCUGAUGGUGCGACGCCGCGUGGGGGAAUGAAGGUCUUCGGAUUGUAAACCCCUGUCAUGUGGGAGCAAAUUAAAAAGAUAGUACCACAAGAGGAAGAGACGGCUAACUCUGUGCCAGCAGCCGCGGUAAUACAGAGGUCUCAAGCGUUGUUCGGAAUCACUGGGCGUAAGGCGUGCGGAGGCUGUUUCGUAAGUCGUGUGUGAAAGGCGCGGGCUCAACCCGCGGACGGCACAUGAUACUGCGAGACUAGAGUAAUGGAGGGGGAACCGGAAUUCUCGGUGUAGCAGUGAAAUGCGUAGAUAUCGAGAGGAACACUCGUGGCGAAGGCGGGUUCCUGGACAUUAACUGACGCUGAGGCACGAAGGCCAGGGGAGCGAAAGGGAUUAGAUACCCUUGUAGUC
Molecule: ribosomal RNA, 446 nt
Filed under: uncultured bacterium
Lineage: Bacteria
Description: partial 16S ribosomal RNA
Rfam family: Bacterial small subunit ribosomal RNA
Source: RNAcentral